AGGCGGACGGCCCCUCGCCCGCCUUGUGCUGAGAGCGGGACUAUGGCGCAUGCGCGGUGCGGCGAAAGGCUUUGUGGGAGCUGUAGUUCGCGGCUCUGUAGGCCCCGACCCAGCGCUGAGAGCAGCUUGUCAGACUCCGUGGACUGAUGACAUCAGGCUUUUGAGAGAGAACCUAGCCAGGCUGCAAGGACAACACCAUUGUGAUCUGACAGAGCAGACAGCCCUUGUGUUCAAGCUGCUUGCAGCCCCACAUGUCUGAAGGACCGUGCUGCAAAGCAAGUCAGCUACCUACAGGAGCACAGAGAGGAGCUUAGUGAGUUCAAUCAAAUCUCAGUGACAAGAGAACAACAUGCGGCUGGAGAGACAGCAGAGCUGAAGGGAGAGCAGCUCUUUUCCCGCUCACCAUGGAGUGGCAACAGCACCUGAUUAGUUUUGAAGUAGUCUUCUUCUUAGGGGGAUAGAGAACUGUUAAAUAAGCAAAUACUUCCUUUGUUUAUCUAGUCAUUUAGGAGGACUUGAGAAAUAAGGAAUUUUCCCUGUUAACAGAAUCAUAACUAGAUUUGUGUGUGAACUGGCAAAUAGGCCUUUCUCUUAAAUAAAGGAAAAGACUUGUACUGACCUAAUACCAUGUCUAAUCUUCAUGACAUAAAGAAGGAAUAGGUAGUUACUAGUGACAAUGAAUAAAAAAGACAGGGAAAUGGAGAAAUUCAGUGACAGUCGGCAUCAAUAGAUGUGCCAAAAGCUUGUGAAAGCUCCCUUUGUAUGAUAAAGUGACUGUCACAUGAAAUAUUAGCAACUAUCCAGAACUGGGAAAGUGUGAAAAUCGUGUUGCUGUAUAAAUUAUCUGAGACACUUAUGCCAAUUAUAGACUCACUGUGAGGAACAGAGACAUUGGUAAUCAUGACAGCGACUGUGUUUGAGUGUCAUGUGAAUAUUCUCAGGCAAUUAUUCAAAUCAAUCAUUUCUUGUCUGGGUAGGAAGGAUUCAUCAUUCUUAGUACCUCACAUCGCUCAGCGACUGAAUGGAUGAUGCUUUGCUAUUUCUGGUGCUCUGUAAUAUGCCUGCUGUAAAUAACAAUACUGGGAUAUGGCUAACUGCUGAGGUGGAGAACUGUGGUAAGAAAUGGGAAGAGGUGGGCUUGAAUCCCAUGCAAACAUGGUGUCAGAGCUGGGGGGGAAGUAGGAGGAAGUAUAAUUUAACAGUUCAUGUUAUGGUUAUCUUUGUCCAUUUAUCCAUUCCUCUUCCCACUUCCUAUAAGCUGCUCAUACAUACAAACUGAUUCCUUUCUAUACACACAGGGGGAUGAAUUAAGGCUGCAGCUGUGUCCUCACCAAACCUUAGGCACCUGAUUUUGCAAACUAAAUGAAAGACCAUUACUGUGGUACGUAAACAGUAUUUACAUGGCUAAAAGUGCCAAGGUGACAUGUCAGCUGGGCUUCAGUACCAUGGGGGUACCCACUACUUGCCAAAGUAACAACUUCAGCAAGUGGUGAAUUGAA
Meleagris gallopavo (turkey) is the source of this 1499-nucleotide non-coding RNA. The record is from RefSeq and is a predicted model, not a curated record. Lineage: Eukaryota; Metazoa; Chordata; Aves; Galliformes; Phasianidae.